This 1558-nucleotide long non-coding RNA is filed under the name Erythranthe guttata (spotted monkey flower). RNAcentral describes it as "long non-coding RNA (EGUT_LNC002943)". Lineage: Eukaryota; Viridiplantae; Streptophyta; Magnoliopsida; Lamiales; Phrymaceae. The record is from RNAcentral.
CUCUUUCUUACUCUCUCUCGCCAGAUCUGGCUCCGACAAUGAAGAGAAAGAAAAAGCGCAAGCCAAAUUCUCCACCAUCUGCUACGCAGCCGCACCGCCGUCGAAAAGCUAACCCCUUUCAUGAUUUUUUUGUGUUUUGUUUGUAUUAUUUUGUGUAAUCUGUGUGAAAUUUUUGUUAAUUGUUUUAGCUGCUUUUGUUUUCUCUGUCUUUGAAUUUCAAAUCUCAAGCUAUGGAUAAUUCUCUGUUGCCUGCGUUUUUACACAUCACAAAAGUUGAUACCUGAAGCUUUGAAUUAUUUUAAUUUGUGAGUCAUUAAUUGAAAUUGAUAGUAGUAAUCUAGCUUCAUCUCUUUCUUAGACUCUCUCUCUCACACACACACACACACACUUUGAAGCACUCUGUGUGGGGGUGAUUUUAAUUACCAAUUACUUGGGGAAGGAAUAGUACAGAGGGGAGUGAAAGUGCGUGCGUUGAGUGUGUGUGAGUGUGUGUGAGGGAUUGUUGAGGGCUUGUGUUUUGUUUUAUUUCAUUGAUGUGUGUACAUGGACUAAAUGUUUGAAUAAUUGUUAGUUUGAGUGUUGAUAUGCAAAUUGUUUCUGGAGUUUGCAGUAUCUGUACAAAAUGUUUUGUCAUUCCCUAAAUCAAUAUAUAUGCAUUCUUUUUGUUUUUUUUUUUGGUGUUUUUUUUUUGUUUUUUUGUUUUUUUUUGUUUUUUUUGUUUUUUAAUUUUAAACCGUGUUCAUAUAAUUUGAGUAUAAUAAUGGAUAUGCUGCAUCGUAGAAUUUUGGUUUUUCGUUUAACAAUAAACAUGCUGCAAUUUGCUCGUUUUCUCGACAUUGUUUGCUCCGAAAUCCUCGUAUUAUACAGUCUUGAAUGUUCUUGAAUAAAUUAUGGAGCUUCGAGUGAAGUGCAAAUAGCAUAUAUAUAUAGUCACAUAUGGUCACAUACUUAUAUAUAUAGUUAUAUGUGUAGUCAUAUAUAGUCGCAUAUGGUCAUAUACAUGUAGUCAUAUAUAGUCACGUGUAGUCAUAUAUAUGUAGUCAUAUAUAGUCACGUGUAGUCAUAUACAUGUAGUCAUAUAUAGUCACGUGUAGUCAUAUAUAGUCACGUGUGGUAAUAUAUAGUUAUGUAUAAGCUAUGUACUAACAUGUAGUCAUGUAUGAGUUAUGCGAGAAGUAUAUGCUGGUGAUGUAUAUGUAUGUCUGUGUAGAUUCAAAUUUGAAGAAAAAAUCAUUGUUUGUUUAACUAUUUUUCUUUUUCGCAGGUCUUGGUGUUUGUUUGAAUUACAGUAAGUUUUUGCGGAGUGGACUUUGUGUUCGUCGUUCAAAAUAAGCUGUACUCGUGUUGAAAAGUGAAAUUUCAGUCAAAUUUAGUCGUAUAGAUAACGAUAUAUAACUAUAGAUGACUAUAGUCAUGUAUAGUUCCAUAUGGUAAUUUAUACUUAUAUACAAGUUAUACGGUUUUUCUGAUGUAUAGUGAUCUUGAUGAUUGUGUUUUUUUUGUUGGGUACUAAUUGAUUUAUAAUACAAGAUUCAAAUUGUGAAUUUAUUUGUUGCUG